AUUGAACGCUGGCGGCAGGCCUAACACAUGCAAGUCGAGCGAGCGGCGGACGGGUGAGUAAUGUCUGGGAAACUGCCUGAUGGAGGGGGAUAACUACUGGAAACGGUAGCUAAUACCGCAUAACAUCAGAUGUGCCCAGAUGGGAUUAGCUAGUAGGUGGGGUAAUGUCUAGCUUAGGCGACGAUCCCUCGCUGGUCUAAGAGGAUGACCAGCCACACGUGAACUGAGAAACGGUCCAGACUCCUACGGGAGGCAGCAGUGGGGAAUAUUGCACAUUGGGCGCAAUCCUGAUGCAGCCAUGCCGCGUGUAUGAAGAAGGCCUUCGGGUUGUAAAGUACUUUCAGCGAGGAGGCGUUACUCGCAGAAGAAGCACCGGCUAACUCCGUGCCAGCAGCCGCGGUAAUAC
Molecule: ribosomal RNA, 406 nt
Filed under: uncultured bacterium
Lineage: Bacteria
Description: partial 16S ribosomal RNA
Rfam family: Bacterial small subunit ribosomal RNA
Source: RNAcentral